AGAGUUUGAUCCUGGCUCAGAACGAACGCUGGCGGCGUGGAUAAGACAUGCAAGUCGAACGCUGACUGCCGGGUAGCAAUAUUCGACAGUCGGAGUGGCGUAAGGGUGCGUAACACGUGGGUAAUCUGCCGUGAAGUUUGGGAUAACUUGCUGAAAGGCGAGCUAAUACCGAAUGUGGAUCUUGGAGGGCAUCUUCCGAGGUCUGAAGUUGGGGACCGCAAGGCCUGACGCUUUAUGAUGAGCCCGCGGCCUAUCAGCUAGUUGGUGAGGUAACGGCUCACCAAGGCUAAGACGGGUAGCUGGUCUGAGAGGACGACCAGCCACACUGGAACUGAGAUACGGUCCAGACACCUACGGGUGGCAGCAGUCGAGAAUUUUUCACAAUGGGCGAAAGCCUGAUGGAGCGACGCCGCGUGGGGGAUGAAUGGCUUCGGCCCGUAAACCCCUGUCAUUUGCGAACAAACCUCGCGAUUAAACAGAUCGCGAGUUGAUAGUAGCGAAAGAGGAAGGGACGGCUAACUCUGUGCCAGCAGCCGCGGUAAUACAGAGGUCCCAAGCGUUGUUCGGAUUCACUGGGCGUAAAGGGUGCGCAGGUGGUGGUGUAAGUCCGAUGUGAAAUCUCGGGGCUCAACUCCGAAAUUGCAUUGGAUACUACGCCGCUUGAGGGUUGGAGGGGGGACUGGAAUUCUCGGUGUAGCAGUGAAAUGCGUAGAUAUCGAGAGGAACACCAGUGGCGAAGGCGAUCUUCUGGUCUGUUUCUGACACUCAGACGCGACAGCUAGGGUAGUAAACGGGAUUAGAGACCCCGGUAAUCCUAGCCGUAAACGAUGUGAACUUGGCGUUGGUGGGUUAAACUCCAUCAGUGCCGCAGCAAACGCGAUAAGUUCACCGCCUGGGGACUACGGCCGCAAGGUUAAAACUCAAAGGAAUUGACGG
Molecule: ribosomal RNA, 936 nt
Filed under: uncultured bacterium
Lineage: Bacteria
Description: bacterial SSU rRNA
Rfam family: Bacterial small subunit ribosomal RNA
Source: RNAcentral